Molecule: transfer RNA, 69 nt
Filed under: Ictidomys tridecemlineatus (thirteen-lined ground squirrel)
Lineage: Eukaryota; Metazoa; Chordata; Mammalia; Rodentia; Sciuridae
Description: Spermophilus tridecemlineatus (thirteen-lined ground squirrel) tRNA
Rfam family: tRNA
About the family: Transfer RNA (tRNA) molecules are approximately 80 nucleotides in length. Their secondary structure includes four short double-helical elements and three loops (D, anti-codon, and T loops). Further hydrogen bonds mediate the characteristic L-shaped molecular structure. tRNAs have two regions of fundamental functional importance: the anti-codon, which is responsible for specific mRNA codon recognition, and the 3' end, to which the tRNAs corresponding amino acid is attached (by aminoacyl-tRNA synthetases). tRNAs cope with the degeneracy of the genetic code in two manners: having more than one tRNA (with a specific anti-codon) for a particular amino acid; and 'wobble' base-pairing, i.e. permitting non-standard base-pairing at the 3rd anti-codon position.
Source: Rfam by way of RNAcentral
GGGGUUGUGGCUCAGUGGUAGAGUGCUUGCCUAGCAUGCAUACAGCACUGGGUUCGAUCCUCAGCACCA